This 589-nucleotide ribosomal RNA is filed under the name Escherichia coli. RNAcentral's name for it is "partial 23S ribosomal RNA". It matches the Rfam family "Bacterial large subunit ribosomal RNA", at positions 341 to 934 of the family's 2925-position model. Lineage: Bacteria; Pseudomonadati; Pseudomonadota; Gammaproteobacteria; Enterobacterales; Enterobacteriaceae. The record is from RNAcentral.
UCUGGAAAGGCGCGCGAUACAGGGUGACAGCCCCGUACACAAAAAUGCACAUACUGUGAGCUCGAUGAGUAGGGCGGGACACGUGGUAUCCUGUCUGAAUAUGGGGGGACCAUCCUCCAAGGCUAAAUACUCCUGACUGACCGAUAGUGAACCAGUACCGUGAGGGAAAGGCGAAAAGAACCCCGGCGAGGGGAGUGAAAAAGAACCUGAAACCGUGUACGUACAAGCAGUGGGAGCACGCUUAGGCGUGUGACUGCGUACCUUUUGUAUAAUGGGUCAGCGACUUAUAUUCUGUAGCAAGGUUAACCGAAUAGGGGAGCCGAAGGGAAACCGAGUCUUAACUGGGCGUUAAGUUGCAGGGUAUAGACCCGAAACCCGGUGAUCUAGCCAUGGGCAGGUUGAAGGUUGGGUAACACUAACUGGAGGACCGAACCGACUAAUGUUGAAAAAUUAGCGGAUGACUUGUGGCUGGGGGUGAAAGGCCAAUCAAACCGGGAGAUAGCUGGUUCUCCCCGAAAGCUAUUUAGGUAGCGCCUCGUGAAUUCAUCUCCGGGGGUAGAGCACUGUUUCGGCAAGGGGGUCAUCCCGA